UUUCCGGUUGAUCCUGCCGGAGGUCACUGCUAUCAGUAUUCGAUUAAGCCAUGCGAGUCAAAUGUUUUUCGUAAACAUGGCGUACUGCUCAGUAACACGUGGAUAAUCUGCCCUAAGGUCUGGCAUAACUCCGGGAAACUGGUGAUAAUUCCAGAUAUGCCAUAGAAACUGGAAUGUUCUGUGGUCAAAAGCUCCGGCGCCUUAGGAUGAAUCUGCGGCCUAUCAGGUUGUAGUGGGUGUAGUGUACCUACUAGCCGACGACGGGUACGGGUUGUGAGAGCAAGAGCCCGGAGAUGGAUUCUGAGACAUGAAUCCAGGCCCUACGGGGCGCAGCAGGCGCGGAAACUUUACACUGCGGGAAACCGCGAUAAGGGGAUACUGAGUGCCAGCAUCUUAUGUUGGCUGUCCGCAUGUAUAAAUAGCAUGUGUUAGCAAGGGCCGGGCAAGACCGGUGCCAGCCGCCGCGGUAACACCGGCGGCCCGAGUGGUGGCCACUAUUAUUGGGUCUAAAGGGUCCGUAGCCGGUUCGAUCAGUCUUCCGGGAAGUCUGACAGCUCAACUGCUAGGCUUCCGGGGGAUACUGUCGGACUUGGGACCGGGAGAGGUAAGAGGUACUACAGGGGUAGGAGUGAAAUCUUGUAAUCCUUGUGGGACCACCAGUGGCGAAGGCGUCUUACCAGAACGGGUCCGACGGUGAGGGACGAAAGCUGGGGGCACGAACCGGAUUAGAUACCCGGGUAGUCCCAGCCGUAAACGAUGCUCGCUAGGUGUCUGGGACGGUGCGACCGUUUCAGGUGCCGCAGGGAAGCCGUGAAGUGAGCCACCUGGGAAGUACGGCCGCAAGGCAGAAACUUAAA
RNAcentral lists this ribosomal RNA (857 nucleotides) under uncultured archaeon. Its description in RNAcentral is "bacterial SSU rRNA". It matches the Rfam family "Archaeal small subunit ribosomal RNA", at positions 1 to 860 of the family's 1478-position model. The record is from RNAcentral.